CCCUCUAAUAAGCAAUAUGCUAGCAAGAGUUGACAAAGAUUUUAAUUACCAAAGUCUUUGAUCUAAAAGUAUGACAUUCCCCUCCUCGGGUCCCGUUUUGAUCAAGCAAUAAAUACAAGGUAAGUAUGCUUGAGAAUUUUUUUGCAAAUUAAAACAGCCUCAGCGAGAUAUAUAAAAGAUAAUGAGUGAUCUGAGAGAACCUAUGAGGAUAAAAGGUAUGCUAACUUUCUUUCAAAAAUAUAAAAAAAAACUCCAAAUGACAGGAUUAAGAAGAAAGGAUCUUUACUCUUAACCAUAUAUUUCCCUGACUACAGUAUACAAUGGAUUUAUACAACACCC
This 339-nucleotide long non-coding RNA is filed under the name Sorghum bicolor (sorghum). RNAcentral's name for it is "long non-coding RNA (SBIC_LNC016344)". Lineage: Eukaryota; Viridiplantae; Streptophyta; Magnoliopsida; Poales; Poaceae. The record is from RNAcentral.